GAUGAACGCUGGCGGCGUGCCUAAUACAUGCAAGUCGAGCGAACGGACGAGAAGCUUGCUUUUCUGAUGUUAGCGGCGGACGGGUGAGUAAAACGUGGAUAACCUACCUAUAAGACUGGGAUAACUUCGGGAAACCGGAGCUAAUACCGGAUAAUAUUUUGAACCGCAUGGUUCAAAAGUGAAAGACGGUCUUGCUGUCACUUAUAGAUGGAUCCGCGCUGCAUUAGCUAGUUGGUAAGGUAACGGCUUACCAAGGCAACGAUGCAUAGCCGACCUGAGAGGGUGAUCGGCCACACUGGAACUGAGACACGGUCCAGACUCCUACGGGAGGCAGCAGUAGGGAAUCUUCCGCAAUGGGCGAAAGCCUGACGGAGCAACGCCGCGUGAGUGAUGAAGGUCUUCGGAUCGUAAAACUCUGUUAUUAGGGAAGAACAUAUGUGUAAGUAACUGUGCACAUCUUGACGGUACCUAAUCAGAAGGCCACGGCUAACUACGUG
RNAcentral lists this ribosomal RNA (497 nucleotides) under uncultured bacterium. RNAcentral describes it as "partial 16S ribosomal RNA". It matches the Rfam family "Bacterial small subunit ribosomal RNA", at positions 28 to 507 of the family's 1533-position model. The record is from RNAcentral.